Equus asinus (donkey) is the source of this 16392-nucleotide long non-coding RNA. NCBI's taxonomy places the organism in Eukaryota, Metazoa, Chordata, Mammalia, Perissodactyla, Equidae. The record is from Ensembl.
GGGGGGGGGGGGCGGGGGGGGGCAGCCAAUGAGGGGAGGAGCCAAGGGAAACCCCUCCCCCGGGAGGUGUGGGCCCAGCCUUGCUCCUGUCCCGCUCCGGUUUCACUCUCUCUCUUGGGCUACAGAGACAUCCGUAAAUGAUGUGCCCUCUCUUAAUGACUGCAGCCACCAUGUGCAGGGGCUUUGACAGGGUUCACUUGGUGAGCCCACCAGGCCACUGAGGCAGUAAUGCCUAGCCCAUUUCAACAGUGGAAGAAGCAGGAGCCCACACACUCUGGCCCGCAGGCUCCAGAGGUCCUGCUCGGUCUAGCACUGCAUCCCUCCACGCUCCCUCACUCAUCCCACUCCCGCCCCCUCCUGCUGGGCUGCCUCCGUGCUGGCCCCAGACAGGCCCUGUGCUGAGGUCCGCCCCCCUCGCACGUGUCCCCCACCCCUGUGUCACCUCUCUGAGCCCUUUCUUUAAGGUCAGUUUGAAGCUCCCUGCUUCCCCUCCUCCCUUCCACCAACCUUCUGAGCAACUUCUGUCUCCCUCCUCGACAAAACCUCGAACAGACCCCUGCACCCGCCUUGUUGUCAGAAGGGACAGCGUGGCCAGGAAGGGAUGGCACUUGUUAACGCUUGCCACAUGCUGUCUGCUGUGCAAAACAGUUUGCAUGUAUCACUCCAUUUGAUUCUCUUGGGAGGCAGGUGCUAUCAUUGUCCCAUUUUACAGAUGAGGAAACUGAGGCUUAAAAUGUUUAGGCUACCCACCCAAGAUCACAGAGGCAGGGAAUGGAAAAAUGUGGACCCAAACUCAGGUCUGUCUGAGCCUAAAGCUUGUGCUCUUUACCGCACGAUUUGGCCUCCUGCUCUCUGGGCGCCCCUCGCCAGGCUGGCCCUGUCUCCCUUCUAGGUCUCAUCUCCAUGGGCCCUCCUGUCAUUCACUCCAAUUGACUCCCCAUGCAUUUUCGUUCCUCUGGGCCUUUGCGCAUGCUAUUCCUUCUACCUGGAACACCUUUCCCUUUCUUUUGUGCCAUCAAAAGCCUUCCCAAGCAGGGAGCCCUUUCUCUGGGAGUCCCUCCUGGAGGCCCUGGCGGCUCCCACCUCCGACUGUGGAGAGAGCCACUUCCUUUCUGCUGGCCCUUGCAGCGUGGGGCGUGCUUCUCUAUGUGACUGCAGCGUGCUGAGUCUGUGCUGGUGUCCAACUGCCACACAUUAACUGAGCACCCAUUUCGUGCCUGGCACUGGGGGCUCUUGGGACAUGGGGGUGAGCCAGACAGGUGUGUCUCAGCUGUUGCAGCGUUUGCAGCCUGGGGGCUGAGGAACAGGUCCACGCUCAGGACCACAAGGCGGCCUGAGUCUUGUGGUGGGGCAGGAUAAGGGGCUUCAAGUGCUCCCAAGAGGAGCAUCUAUCCAGGACUGGGAUGGGCAGCAGGGCUCCAUGGAGCAAGUGGUAGUAAACCAAGGUGGAGAGAGUCAAGCCAGGAGGGGGUGAAGGGGGAAAGCAAUGUCUCAGGCAAAGGGAACAGCCUGUGCAAAGGCCCAGGGGUGAUAGAAAGCUAGGUGAGAUCAGAAUGCCACAGAGAUUGGCAUGGCCGGAAAAUAGAGCAUGCAGGGCAAGUGUUGCAAGAGCACUCUGGAGAGGCAAGCUCCGACUCUGGCCAAAAAAGGUUGCCGGAAUCUUGCCUCUCUCUCCCACUCAUCUGUGGGCUCAGGUGGCUUAGAGGACAGUGUGGCAUGGGAGUUAACAGCCUGGCCUUGCAGCCAGCAGACCCAGGUGUGGCUUGAGUGACUUCAGACAGCUGCUUACCUGUUCUGGGUCCUACUCUCAUCUUUUAAAUGGGAAUCAUCAUACCACCCCCUCCGAGGGCUUGGCGAGGACUGUGUAACGGAAGAGGAUGAGCACAGUCUCUGACCCACGGGAGCAGCUGAAUGCAGGGCUGCUGCAGCGAUGGCAAGAACACACGGGAAUGUGUUAGACACCAUGUUGCUGUUGUCACCAGUAUUCUUACCAUUAUUUUUGUUGUUGGAUCUGAGUCGUCUCUGCCUCUCUUAUGGAUGGCACCAAGGGCUCUGUUGCCUACCCAGCUCUGGGUCCUGGGGAAGGAGCUGGCAAGAUGGCGAGCGCCAGGAUCAUAGAACAACCCCUUUGCCCUCCGCAGCUGUGCGCGGGCCAGGGAAUGAGAGGUCUGUAGCCCUGUGGACUAGUCUGGCAGGGGCUCCGGACACAGAAUCCGGAUGCUAUGUGAACACCCCAGCCUGCCUGGGAAAGCUGCCCACCAGCCCGUCCCCCUCUGCCCUUAUAUGGCCUUCCCUUUCUUGGGGAAGAGUUGAACCUUCUCAGGGUUGGAUGUUCUCGUCCCCCUGCAGGACGCCAGGACGCCUGCUGGGGUGGUGAUUCUUUUCUUGUGGGCAUUCCCAUCUGAUCAAUUUUCUGCCCUCUCUGGCUGCUCUGAGCUGAGGGCUGCCCCCUAAGAAUGCAUCACCCAGACCCCCUUGGGCUCUCAAUUCUGGCCGGAUCUGGCCACAGGGAAGCUGCAGCAGGAGAGAGGAGUGUACAGGGCGAGAGGUCAGGCAUCCAUCCCUCUCUCCGUCUGCUCCUUCUUCCACUGUCCUGACAUUGGCUGUGACCAGGACAGCUGUAGCUCCCUGGCUGCUCCUCCUUGGCUCCGGCUCUCAGGCCCCCCAGAGCACCUUCCUUCUCUUCUGCUUGAUCGCUAAGAGGGGUGUGGGCUUCCCGCUGCUCUAGGCCCGGGGGGCUGCCUUGACCUCUCUUGCUGGUUUCCUUGACCUGCCCCCACCUCUGAGCACAGCCCUGCUCCGUGCUGUUGCUGUCGCUGUCACAGGCUGCCUGUCUCCCGCUGACUCCCAUCAGUGUUCCGCGGAGGCUGUCCAGGCUCCUCCAAGAGACCCUGCCCAGCCAGGACCAGGGUGCAGGGCUGCCCCUCUUCUCCUCUCCUGUAACCUGGGUGCCUCCUAAGAGGGCAGGCCAGGGUCCCACAUGGGCACUCGUCCUGGAGGGGUUGGAGCUGCCUGUGGGACUGCAGAGGAAGCCAGGAUUCCAUCACAGAGGGCCUCAGGGGCCGUGGGGGAGGAUUUGGGGUUUUAAGAACAACAAGCUGUGGCAGAUUUUUGGGCUGGGGAUUGCCAUCCUCUGGUUUACAAAUGUAGAGGAUUUAUCUGCUGAGAGGUUCUAGACGGUCUGUGUAGACCCAGGGAAGCUAUCUGGGGUGCUGGGGCAGUAGUUGCCCUGUGACAUUAUGGGGCUCUGCCACCAUUAGAGACAUCUGCCACCUCCACUGUGAAGCCUCAGCUGGUCACCCACGACGGGUUGAAGGCUUCCUUUCUGUGUGUUCACAAAACUUUGUCACAGCAGCUAUCACAGUCGCCCCUCCUCCUGUCCGCAGCGCGCCUCUGCCUCAGCGCCCGCUCACUCCCGGGUCCCAGCACGUGCAGGGCCUGCACACAGAGGGUGCGGUAGGGCUGGCGCUUCGCUGAACUGGUUGGGACUGUCUACCUUCAGUGCAAACGCCUUUGAAGGUGCCUCCUGUUACAACAUGAGUAACUGUUAAGGGACGCCCAGCGUCAGAUCAGCUUGCGCCGCCUUGUCAGGCAAGGAGAGACAGUGGACAUUGGCUGCGUGCUUCCCCACGCCGCCUCGUCCAGUCCACUUGCCAGCCCUGGGAACAGGCAGUCCUGCCCCAUUUCACAGAGGGGAAACGGAGGCUCAGAAGAGUGGUCUAACUUGGAUCAGGUCGCCCAGCUUGUGAGUGACAGAGCCUAGGUGCCAACCAGGUCUCUCUGUCUCCUAAAGCUGUCAGCGGAGCCCAACGCCGCCGGGAGAACUGGACCAGCCUGCUCAGGAAACUGGCCUGGAAAGAAGGAGUCCAUUGUUUACCAGCUUGUUACUGUGGCUCUGGGUGCAUUAUGGAUCCAAGCAGGUGACACGGAGCAUGGAGCCGCAGCCAAGAGAAGGUUUCAGAAAGCGAAGAGACCUGCACAUUAGAGUGCUGUGACUCAGUGGGAAGGCUGUCCGCCUCUUCAGAGCCUUCCUGCCCCUGGAGGACCCGCCGAGUCCCACGCGCCCCUGGAAAGGCUCUUUGUACCGCUGCUGAGGUCUGGGAAAAUAUGCGCCUCCAUACAUACGGCUGGGUAUGGUUUCAUGGAGCUCUGCUUUCUCUUCAACAAUAUGAACACGUGCACUCAUUUGUUUAUUUGCUUAUUUGUUAUAAAAUAAGGACUUGUGAUUUCUGUCAAGACUGUGCUUGGCAAAGGAGCUAGAAGGAACAAUGAAACUGUCUUGGAGGGCAGAGGGCAGAUUUUAAACUCCAUUUUACUUCCCAUCACACAUAGGAGGUACUCAGGAAGUACUUGCAGAGCUGGCCUGGCUUGGCUACUCUCCUUCAUGGAGCUGUGUUAGUCAGCUUUGCCACAAGGCUGGUAUGUGACAAACCGCCCGAUACUGAGCAGCUUACGGUUACCAGUGCUGUUCCUCGCUCAUGGGUUUCAGGCUUGGUGGGUGGCACGGUGCAGGUGCAGGUUGGGGGGCAUUGGCUCAGGUUGGCCUGCUCAGCUGCCUCAUUCCGGGGGCCAGGCUGAAACCUCUGCCUGGUUGCUCUUCUCCCAGUAAACGAGCACGUGAGCAGAAAGAAUGUGAUGAAAGAGAUGCUGCCUUGAGAUCUCAGCCCAGAACUGCCGUCCGUCACUUCUACCACCUUCGUUGGCUCACAAUGAGUCAGUGGUCAAGCCCAUUAUCACUGGGCAGGGAUGUAUAUUUGUUGCCUCUUGUGUGACGCCCUGCAGACUCUAAUGGCAAAGGGUAUAAUGCUCACGCAAGGAGAGCAUGAAGACUGGAGCUUCAGAGAUGGACUUGAUUUCAAAUUUGAGUUAUUCUCUACCUGAUUUGGGACUGGAGAAAUCACUUAACCCUUUAGAAUCUCUGUCUUUCUCAUAUAUCAGGUGCUUACAAUAUGCCUUUCACCGAGCUUAGCAUUUUAUGAAGAUUGCUAUAGGGAGGUAAAGUAGGGGUUCAGCCCCAUUUAAUGAAUGAGGAAACUGAGGCUGAGUAAGGUGACUUGCCCAAAGUCACAUGGCCGCAUCCGGAGUUCCCUGGCAGGUUCUAUCUGCCACCUCUACUUAACUGAAAGAGGGUGUGUGUGCUGUCUGCCACUCUCAGGGAGCUUGUUUCAGGUGAAUUUCUGUCUUUUCUCCCCUUAAAGAGUCCUGGAAACUCUCAGGUCUCUGAACUUUCAUUUUCUGAUGAACUUUACCCCGUGGAUAACCCGCUGAUGUGGCUGGCUACCACCACCCAAGUUUCAAAGUUCAUUGUUGGUAAAGAAAAAAGUCGGGGCUAUUAUUAGCCGCAAUUGGAGGGUGAUCGCACUUCCCAGUCACGAGUCUUCAGGAAGAAGGACACUUGAAUCAAAGCCUGGGUGGUGGUGGUGGGGCAGCGUGUGUGGGCCAGAGGCAGGUUUCGUAAUUGUCAUGCCUGUCGGGCGAGGCUGGGGCCUCUGCUGCCAGAUCGCUUUCCUCUCUGGAGCCAGCUGCUCUGACACCUCUGGGGAAGGACAGCUGGCAGCUUUUUGCUAGAGUUUACUCACAAGGCAUGGAAGAUACUAGUAAGAGCAAAUCUUGGAUCCAACAGAUCUGAUUUGAAUCAAGCCUGUGCCUGAUUGGCUGGGUGGCCUUGCCCCCUGCAGUGCUGUCCCCUGUGCCUGCAGUGCCCCUCCUUCUCUGGGCCACUCUCCACCUGAAUGUCCCCUCAUCCCAGAGGUCUUCCCUGACCCUCUCAAGCCCUGUGCUCCCUUAAUAGCCCGGCCCACCCACGCCCUGCGCCGAGGUUAUCCUGAUGACUCACUUAUUCAGCUCUGCUGCUAGGAGACAUGCUCUGUGAGGGCAGGCCUGACCCCGACAUCCCACUCCCCAGUAUGGGCCUAGGGCACGGGAGGCAUGCUACGAACGUUUAUUUAAUGAAUUCAAUGACAAGUGACUAAAAGCAGGCAAUUGCUUUGCAACCUUUCUGUAGUGGAUUCAAUAUUGUCUAUGCCUUGGAAGCCACUUGGCUCUAAUCCUUGCUACUCAAGGUGUGGUCCUUGGACCUGCAUCCCCUGGGAAUUUCUAUGAAAAGCAGCAUCUGAGGCCCCACCCCAGACCUACUGGAUCAGAAGCUGCGUUUUAACCAGAUCUCAAGCCACCCACGUGCACACCGAAGUUUGAGAAGGAUCACAUCUAGCCGCAGGGUCCUUCCUGGGACCCUCAGAGACUGCCACAGAGUCUGAAGCCGGUUCUCUGAGAAGCAGCAGCCGGGCCAUUUUCAGUGGGCAGCCCCUGAGAAGGACUGCUUGCACAGCACUGCCACGUCGGCGUGGACGGGUGAUGACCUGUUGGCCAAGCAGUCGAUCGCCCGAGUCCUUCUAGUGACCAGCUGCAAGAACAUCUGGAUGCCCCGUGGUCGCCAAGGAGGUUUUCCGUUAACUCUCUGCAGCGGCAGGGGAUGGGCCAGUCCACGGUGUCGAAUCCUCACCCCUGGUCUGUGAGGCAGGUGUUAUAAUCUCCGCUUUACACGGGAGGAGGCCAAGGUCCAGAGAGGGUAAGGCGCUUGCCCACAGCCACACAGUUGGGAAGAGGCCCAGUGGGGAUGUUCCCUUCGUGCAAGGCUGGCUCUUGCAGGGAGGCUGCCCUUCUAAUGCGGACAGUUUACUCACUCCACAUUCCGUCCUAAGACCCUCUUCACACAGGACUAACUGCGGUCUCUGCACCCCGUGAACUGGCCCUUCUCCGUGCUCCUGACCUCAUCUCCUACUGUGUAUGCCCGUGGCUCCCUCUGUUUUAGCCUCUCUGGCCUCUUUCGGACCCUUGAACGCACAAGCUGGUGCCCAGCCCAGGACCUCUGCUCUUCCUUCUGCCUGCGGGAUGUCUCCCCCCAUCUCCCCGUGUUUGCCUUCUCAUCAUUCAAGGCUCACUCAAACAUCCCUUCUUCCGGGGGCCUUUCCCUAAGCACCCGAGGGAAACACGUCCUGCCCUCUCCCCUCUCCACGCCCACAAUAGUCACUCUCAUUCCCAUUAUUUUAUUUUUUUCAUAGCACUCAGUUUAUCCAAAAUUGCCACGGGCGUUUGUUCAGAUGCCCCUCCACUGGCGUGGGAGCUCCUCGAGGGCAGGGUCCUUGUCUGGAUAGCUGCUGUGUCCCCAGCCCAGAACAGUGUCUGACACAUGGCAGGACUUAACGAGACUUGGCGAAGGUAUGAAUGUGGGACGGUGGGAUUGAAAGAAAUGACACAGAGCGCAGAAGCCUGGGCUUUGCCCUCUGGUGGAUGUGGUUUGAGAUUCGAACUCACUUGCAUGACCUCUGGCAAUUCUCACUUAGACCGUGAGCCUCAGUUCCCACACCUGUAAAAUGGGGAUAACGACCCAACUUGUGAGGUGAGGGGGUCACGUAAAACCAAAUGAGAGACAGAGCUGGGCAGAUUCAGAUGCUCAGUACACGUUAGGAAGCCCUCACACCCUCUCUGCCCCUCACAACCUGAGCCCUAACCGCAGCUGAACUGCUCACAGCUCUUCUGAGCGCACCGGCCUCUCCUCACCUCCCCAUCUCUGUUCAGGAGCUGCCUCCGUCUGCACUGCCCUUCCUUCGUCGUUGACUGCCUGCAAAGUACCCACUCAUCCUUCAAGACUCAGUACACUGUCCUGACCCUCCGAUAGCACCCCACCCGAACACCCAGGUAGAGCCCCUGGACACCUGGGGCACGAUUUGAGCCUUGGAUGGGGGGCCUCACCGCCUCUGGCAGGUGAGAAGCUGAGUCCUGACAUAAAUUCACUGGCUCUGUAGUCAUCUCAAUAAAGAAGUGUGUCAGCAUCACCAGGGAGCACCCUUGACUUUGCCUCUGCCCUUGAUCUGGCCCCCGGGGCAGGAAAUGGCGCUUUCUUACCGCAGGCACUGGUGUGGCUCAGCCCAGCAGCAGGAGACAUCUGAUAAGCUUCUGUUUCUUCUUUGAUUGUCUGGGUCUCAAAUGAAAAUGAAAAUGUUAGCAAUGGCAGGCACGACUUUCUGAACUCCUUUCUGCUUUUCUCUGCCUGAGGCAGGUAUAAAAAGGAAAAAGGUGCACAGAGAGGGGUGAGGGAACCCUCUUCCUCCCUCCUGUCUGAAUAUGCAAAAGCCUCAGAUCGGCUGCUGACCUGGGGAAGCCACCCGUUCCUGGACUCAGUGCGUCUGAUUCCUGCCUUUUAGGAGAGGAGGCCUGGGUUCCCUGGGCCAUGGCAGUGUUGAAUUGCCCUGUCCUGUCCACGUCAUCUCUCUGUGGAGUGUGCGUGCGGUGCAGGCCUGCUCCACUCCAGGCUGUGGGCCUCCGAUGCCAGUCGUGGGUAAGUCAGGCUCUGGAGGCGGGAUUUGGAGACCCAUCUCUGGCUGUGGUCUGGUUCGGAACAGACCUGCUCUGCAGUGGCGUGGGCUGGGGCACGUCCUGAAGCGCUGCGUCGACGGUCCAGUCGAGGCUAGCGGAGGGGCAGGGAGUUGGACCUAACAGCUCCCGAAGGCCUGCUCCGGAGCAGACACUUGUUGUCCGUGACCUCCAGUGUUCACACUGCCUGUGUUCUGCUGUGCACUCGACAGAGGAGGGAGCUGAGGCCCAGAGGCGGUAAUUGACCCAGGCUGCCCCCUGGGGAGGCUGCAAGUGCAGAGCCAGGAGCUCUCGAUUAGAUGCUGAGUGCCUUGGUGGAAAGGUGACAGCUCACAUUCCCUGAUGAGUGGCAGGACUGGGAUCCAGACUCCAUCUGCCUCAUUCCCAAACUGUAAGCUGCUUGCUCACCCUACAGCUCCAACACCCUCUUUGUAAGAACUGAGGAGGUAGCUUGCCCGAGGUCACGCAGAGAAUUAGAGGCUGUGCUACACGCGGGGUCUCUCCCUGAGACCACACGGCCUCUCUUUGCUCUCAUCGCCGUGGGAGAGGGCUUCCAGAGAACCACCUCAAGGCCGACUACUGAUCCCGGGAGACCCCGGCUUCCUCUGGAGCCCAGUGAGUCACUGUGGGGAGGAUCCAGGCCCCUCCUUUGAAGCCCUGCUUCUGUGUUUAGCCUGAUCUGCCUCCAGGGGCAAGAGGAUGAAGCGGAGGAUUGCCUCGGGCCACUUCUGUCACUUGCUUGCCAAUCUAUGCUGUUUUCCUUUUGCCAGAGGGUCUUCAUAGCUGGGCCAAAACCCAUGAGAUGGACACUGGAGGAAAAGAGAGAUUACUUACAACUCAAGCUGCAGAAAAGGAGUAGGCAAGGGGAUGGGAUGCCUUCCCCAGAAAGCAAGACUGAAUAGCGCGUACAGUCUCUGGAUCAGAGUCCAAGUCUUGGAAAGAUUCUCAGAGGGCCUCAGUGAUUCCAGCUUCAUAGCUGGAGUCAGGUCAGGGCUCCAAUCUCGCUCAGCCUCUUCCCCCUACGUGACGUUAUACCUGCAGUGUAACAAGGACACUGACUUAGGAUUGUUGUGAUUUUAAAAUGAGACAAUAUGCAUCAUACGCCUGGUCCAGAACAGGCAAGAAAUAAAGAAAGAGCAGGGUGUGUGUGUGUGUGCGUGUAUUUUCCCCCUUAUCUCCUCAUUUUAUAGACAAAGAGACGAGAACCAGAGACCAGCUGUGAUGUCCACAGACACAUGGGAGUCCAUGCUGGAGCCGGGAGGUGGACCCUUGCCCCACCCUCCCAGGCCAGCGUUCUUUAUUUCACAUCACAAUAUUAAGGAUGAAAUUUUUAACCACGUCCCUAAUUUCUAGGCCUUGGAAGCAUAAAAAAGAUGAUUCUCAGCAUAUGGGGAAUACACCAAAAUAAAAUUAUUCUUUGACUAUUCUGGCAUCUAAAAAGCCUUUGAAGCGGCACUCCUUGUGUGGUCAGGAGAGCAGGCAUGUGGCUGGCCUGGAUCCUUUUCACUCAGGGAUGGUUGAACAGUGCCGUCCGGGCGCCCACCCCAGUCCCAAGACCGAAGGAUCUCGGGCAGGUGUGGUCCGAGAAAAAGUCAAGGUCAGGACAUGUGCACAUUGUGUAUGGGUCCCUGGAGCCAGCUAGGCAAACUUUAUCUGUGAGAUAAGGACUGUGAAUGUACCAUGUAAUUUUGUUCUUAUAAUAAAGGAAUAGUCCAGAAAUAACCUUAUCCCUUACGGCAUAAGGCCUUUUCGCUGGUUUCUGAGACCACCUGAGAGAAUGAGCCUUUUACCAACACACUGAUGAUUUAUAUCACAUCACAAUGUAAGGAUGCAAUUUGUUAACCGUAUCCCUAAAUUGAUCAUCUCAGGGAAUUGGUGUUCAUAAUUAAGAGUUGGAGCAGGGCCCCAGAUGCCUCUGGCAUCUUCCAAACCACCAGGGAAAGGCUUAUAUGCAGCUCCUGUUGGCUCACUGACUUUCUGGUCUUUGUUCAAAUGACACCUUCUCAGUGCGGCCUUCCCUGGCCACCCUAACUAACAGGCAGACCCCCCACCAACAUGCUCGAUCCCUAUCCCCUGAUUCAUUGUCCACCUUCACACUCCGCAUCUUGCAAUACACUAUAUAUCUACUUACUUUGUUAUUACCUACGUUCCCUUACUAUUUAUUUAAUGAUACUCAUUUGUAAAUGCUCGACAAAUAUCAGCUCAUUCAGACCUCAUAACAACUUUAAACGGAGGUGGUAUUAUUUGCCCCUCUAUACAGAUGAGGAAACUGAGACACAGAGAGGUUAGGUAAUGUGUUGAAGGUCACACAGCUCACAAGUGGCUGAGUUAAGAUGUGGUCCCAGGAGUCUGGCUCCCAAGUCCUUGCUCACGCCCAUCACACUGUCCCUCUCAUAGGAUGUGAAUUACGCAAGGGCAGGGGUUCGCCUAUUUGGCUGGAAAUACCUGGCACAUCACAGCAUCAAGUAAUUAUUUGUUGAAUGAAUGAAUGAAUGUUUAAAUGGGGCUUAUACCAUUCCAUUGCUUUGAAAGCCCUUCAUUUAUAGAUACUACGCUUAGACAGCCACUCCUUGAAGCAAAUCUGUGGAUUAUAGGAAGGCAGUGGGGCAGGUGGACAGGGCGUGGGGCUCUAGUGUCAGAAAAGAAUGGGGAUCAGAAUCCUAACUCGGUCAGUCACACACAAUAUUUCAUGAGCUACAUGACCUUAACAAGUUCAUCUAACCUCUCUAGCCUUGGUUGCUUCAGCCUUGGAGAAAAUCGUGGGCUCCUUGGAGGGUUAGGCAUUAGAUGAAAGUCCAGUGUAGAUAAAGCACGGGCCCAGAGCAGGUCCUCAGGAAAUGCCAGUUCCCUUCUCAUGGGGAAGGCAGGGAUGAAAGAUACAGGGACUCCAUCUUCCUUUUGCUGAGCAAGCUCUGAUUUUUUCGGAAUGAAUAUAUUAGGGUGAAAGUAUGGGGCUAGCAAAGGGGACCAGGAGAUGGGAAAUGUCACUUUUCCCUUGGACAGCAGUUAAGGCUGGAACAACUCUAGUCAAUUCAGCAAUAUAUUUCUUUUGAUUCUCACCUAACACCAAAUUGAUGCCACUUUUUCUCCUUUGUUUCAUUAAAUUCCGUCGCCUUAACGUGAAACACCGCCUCUUCAGACGUGGUCCCACCGUAGCAGUGAGCAGGCAGGAGUGUCAUCGCCCUCCCGGAAACCAAGCCCGCUUUGGAUUGUAGAGAACAGACCGCACAUCUGACAAGCGAGUUUCCCAAUUCCUCCCGAUUUGUAGACUGAGUUUGUAAAACUCUAAAUAUUUGUCUGACUUUUAAGACUGUUUUCUUCAAGUCUCAGUCGGAGACUCUGCAGGGAAACGCCUAGAGCCCCGGGCUGGCGCUGGGCUGGGAGCUGGUGCCCGGAAGUCGCUCCUGCUUCCUGGGUUUGGUGAGUGCCUCCACAUCAGAUUGCCCUGGAAACCUCCACGAGCCGCCAUCAGACAGAUGGGUCUCCUUCUGCAUGGGGAGGGCUGAGGCCCAGGACCUCCAGCACAUGUCCCAUCCUCUUUGCUGGACCCUUCUGCUGCUUGUGGUAUGACCAUGGCACAGUGGCCACGUGGGAUUAAUUCCAAACCUCUGACCUGGCUUUGCGCAUGCCGUUCCUUCUUCUUAGACUCUCCUUCCCUCACCUCCUCUGAACUCAGGGCUCUCCAACUUCAUCCUCAGGACUCAGUGUGGUUGCUCCUCUGGGACGAGGCUCUAAGGGGGCAGUGGCUGUCGGCUCUGUGCUCGUUUCUAGCAUCAGCCCCUUUCUUGUCAUCUUUACAUGUCCCUGUUUCUCAUCUGGGAACUCCUUCAGAGCAGGGCGUUGUUGUUCAUUUAAAGAUCUUUAGGCCCUGACAUAGGGCCCAGUCUGCAGCUGGUACUCAAGAGGAGUCCUGAAUUUUAAACUUUUUGCUCAAAUGAACAGGGCGCUGGGACCUUCACAGAAAGAGUGUAGGAUGAGGGGGUGCAUGGACUGCUGUUUAGGAGACCCCUCGGGCUGAUCUGGGUCAGCCCCCAUUAUUCUGCAUCUGAGAAAGUGGGAGCUUAGUGACAUCCCAGCUGCAUGUGUUGCUGGCAGAGCCGAGGUCUCCCCACUCUCGGUCCAGUGCCCAAUCUGUGAUCUCAGGAUGUCCCUCGUCCUCAUGAGAAUGAGCUGCAGCAAAGACAUGGCUGGUGGAGUGGAGAAAGGCAUCCAGGGACAAGAUACUGGGAGUGACAAAAGUCCCUGGAGUGUGGCUUGCCAUCUUGGCAGCAGGCUGCCUGGCAGACUGGAGGAUGCCAAUGAGAAGAAAGCCUCGGGAGUGCCAUGGCAGGAGCUCUGGGUUGCAGACUUGGGCUUCUCAGGCCAGACCCGCUGGCCCGAGUCAGCUCAGGAACCAGGGAAAAGUGCCACAGAGCCGUCCCCAAACCAAAGGCUUCAGGCUCCUUGCAGUUGGGCAUCUGGCCAGAUGUUAAGAAAAGGGGACAUUGCAAAGAACUCUAGCAGGAGGAAGUGGUUUGAGUUUCCUGCUUGAAGGAGGAUGCUUCAUUUAAAUAGAAUUCGGUAGAAUUAAGUAGAAGGGGGAAGUCUCUCAAGCCCUCUGCUUGGACUUGGAAGUCUGCUUCUUGCAGAGAAAGAGGAUUGAGAAAUGGCUUCCCAGGGAACCAGAUUUUACCCCAAAUUCUCAAUCGGGGUGGGGAUGGAUAUAACAGAAAACGUUUCCAUCUACUGAGCCCCUGUUCUGUGUUGGGUACUUCUCUCAGUUAGUGCUUCUCCCCAAAUCCUCGUGGAAACUCAGAUUCCCAGAGGGGAAGUGAUUUGCCGCAGAAGACACAGCAAGGCAGGCUGGCACUCGGACCCACCCCUGGCUGACCACCUCGCCACGUCGGCUCCCAAAGCUGGCUGGCCUCCCUGGGCCUGCGGGCCUCAGUCUGAGUGAGCUUCUCUCGUCUGUGAGCUGACAGUCACCAGGCCAGGCCCCUCCCUGCUUUGCAAAGCUCAGUUUUGCACAGCUAACCUCUUCAGUAGACCUCAGGGAGGUUCGACUGUGAAGGCCUGAGGACAGGGUCUGGGGUGCAUCACCUCUGUCUUCCCUGCACUGGCCCAAGGGUCUGGACCCAGUAGACGCACAGAAACAAUGGUCCCCGUGCCAGGAUCUUCUGUGUGGUAGCUCACUUCAUUCCCACACUGAGCCGGGGCCUGGGUUUGUCAUGCCCAUGUCUGAGAUGGGAAAACAGACUCAGGAAGAGAAGUAAUUUUCUCAGGAUAUGUUGCUGGAUUGUCUUUUAAAAAUAAAGGUAUUCCCUGAGUAUGGUAUAAGUAAGAUGUUUUAGGACACUUCUCUGCAAGAAGUAUCAUAUUUACUUGUAUUUCUAAAUCAAAUAAAUUUGGCUUGCCACACCCGCCUGCAUUUGGCAGGAAAUUCCGUCUCAGCGUGUGGGGUGGAGGUCGCCCCGAAUGCGGGAGUUUAUACGGAAUGGUGUUUAGACAAGAGUCUGCCUCUGGCCUUCAGCUCCAAGACGUUCCAAUCACAGGGCGAUGCUAAUCAAGCGACGCUUUGGAGCCACUUCCCAGAGUGGCCUGGGAACGCCCCCGCAGGUCAGGUGCUGUUCGAAGAGUUGGCACGGUGUGAGAUUUUUAACCUCAGUGGGUGACGAUGGCCACCUUCUUCCCCCCUCCCCCCAUCACACAUCCCCUGUUGGGUAAGUUGUAUUGGCCGUGGGCGUUUUAUAUUUGUAAUGUUCUUUUCUUAAAGAAAGCUCCUCAAAAUGCAUAUAUUCACGUCUGACAAAACCUAGAUGUGCUCCUGCCUGCUUCGUUCAUGGUGGCAGUCCCUCCACACGUGCCCUGGGCUGCCUUCCUGGUGGCCCUGGAGCCGUGGCUCUUUCUGUGAAAUUUUCGGCUUUUCCUCUUACCCUUUCAGAGGUUCCACCCUCCUGGAUGGGGGUGCUAUGUGGGAAUGGGAUACUGGUCCCCCAUUUUGGAAACAGCAGCUUCCAUAGUUUAUUUUGCCAUCUUGGAGAAGCCUUGCCAAGGUUAGGCCAUUCCCCAUUUUCAAGCACAGAGGAAAGGGUACAGAGGCCUUUGCACACACAAUGUCACAGUCAAGGUCAGAGCAUCACAGUCAAGGUCACAGGGUCACAGUCAAAGUCAGAGUAUCACUGUCAAGGUCAGAGGAAAGGGUACAGAGGUCUUUGCCCACACAGGGUCACUGUCAAGGUCUGAGUGUCACAGUCAAGGUCACAGGGUCACAGUUAAGGUCACAGUGCCACCGUCAAGGUCACAGGGUCACAGUCAAGGUCAGAGGGAAGGCCAGCAGUGAGACAGCAGCAGGUUGGAUGUGGCUGUCUUCAUUCUCUUAGAUGAAGUUCAAGGCAAAGGUCUCUGACAGUCCUUGGAAGAGAAUGUCCAGCUUGUUUUCCCGCCCAGAGCCUAGUAAACAGGACAACUGGAAUCUGUGGUGGCCUCAGGACACAUGGACUGCAGCCUGGCUGGCCGUGGGAGAGAAGGCAGUGUGGAAAUGGCUGACAUUAGGACCCACCCUGGCCUCUGCACUUGAUCCCCAAGGAAACGCCUCUUCUGGGACAACCUGUCUCAGGGACUUGGAAUCUGUAUCUUGGGUCAGAAAAUAUGCACAGCCUUUGACCCAACGAUUCCACUUCUAGGAACGCAAUAAGAAGGAAUAGUUGCUGAUGUGUGCAAAGAUAUAUGUCCAAGGGUGUUCAACGUAAUGUUGUUUGUAAUAGAGAAAAAGUGGAAGCAACUCAAAUAUCCAGCAAUGGUGGUAUGCCAGGAAACUUGUGUUGCUACAGUACAUCUAUAUGAUGGAAAAAUAUUAGCCAUUAAUAAUCAUGUGGUAAAGGAAUGUGUAUUGAUAUGGAAUUUUCAGAAUAUUUUGCCAAAUGAAAAAAGGCUAUCAAACAGCAUGUACUGCCUGUUCUUACUUAAUUAUAUAAUUACAUACUCCGCUGAGGUUAACUGAACACUUACUGGAUGCCAGGCAUGGCUCUAAGCAUUUAAAAUACAGUCAUACAUUUCAUCGUGCAACGUCUAUGAAGAAGAUAUUUUUAUUAUCUAUAUAUUACACAUAAGGCACCUGAGACACAGAGCGUUUAAGUAAUUCGCCCAAGGUCACACAGUACUAAGUGGCAGAACCUGAAUGUGACUAAGGCAGCUGGGGUCCGGAGCCAUGCCUAAACCACUAAGCUGGCCCUGCUCUCUCUUCCUGUGUGUGUGCAUGUUUGUAUAGUUUUCUCUCUCUUUCUCAGAGGCUUUACACCAAAAUGCUAGCUGUGUCUUCAGUCAUCCCCUCCUCAAACAAGAUACAGCAGAUGUUUCCAUGAUGAGAGGGGAUGCUGCAGCUACUGCGGCACUGGGGAACAUCUGCGCCUCGAGCACAGAGACUACGCCACGUGCCUGUGUGGACUCCACAUGGGCACGUCCCCAAUUCACCGAUUCAGCAAACAGUGACUAGGCACCCAUUCUGUGCAGGCCUUGUUCUAUGUUUUGAGGAUUCAACAGUGAACAGGGAAGGCACACGGGACAAUUCUCCCAUAAAACUGACAUCCCAGUGGGGAGGCAGAGAGGUGACCAGUAAGUAAACAGCCAAGAAAAACACCAGCUGGAGAUCAGUGUUGUUGGGAUCUGCAAUUAGAAGAGUAUGAGAGAGUGGGACCACAGCUACAGGGGUUAAAUGGCCAGGAAAGGGGACUUUUUAGAGGUGGCAUCUCAGCUGAGACUUGAAUGACCAGAAGAAACAAGAUAUUUGUCUAUAUCCGUAAUGUAUCUAUGUCUAUCUCUAUCUACCUAUCUACCUACCUACCUAUCUAUCAUCUAUCUGUCCAUCACCUAUCUAAUCUGAGAGAGAGAGAGAGAUAAAUCAAACCCAGUAAAAUGUUAACAUUUGGGGAAUCUGGGUGAAGGGUACAUUAAAAUAUUUUUGUAUAAUUGUUGUGACAUUUCUGUAAGUCAAAAUUAUUUUAAAAUAAAGAGUUGAAAGUAUAUUAAAAUAAAUAUAUUAAA